This is a non-coding RNA of Pimephales promelas (fathead minnow), 857 nucleotides long. The record is from RefSeq and is a predicted model, not a curated record. Lineage: Eukaryota; Metazoa; Chordata; Actinopteri; Cypriniformes; Leuciscidae.
UUUCCUUUAGCGCACAGUAAGAGAAGGUUUUUAGGGUGAUCUUUUCCUUUAGUGUACAGUUAGAGAAGGUUAGGGGUGAUCUUUUCCUUUAGUGUACAGUUAGAGAAGGUUAGGGGUGAUCUCCUUUAGUGUACAGUUAGAGAAGGUUUUUAGGGUGAUCUUUUCCUUUAGUGUACAGUAAGAGAAGGUUUUUAGGGUGAUCUUUUCCUUUAGUGUACAGUUAGAGAAGGUUUUUGGGGUGAUCUUUUCCUUUAGCGCACAGUAAGAGAAGGUUUUUAGGGUGAUCUUUUCCUUUAGUGUACAGUUAGAGAAGGCUUUUGGGGUGAUCAUUUCCUUUAGUGUACAGUUAGAGAAGGUUUUUGGGGUGAUCUUUUCCUUUAGCGUACAGUGAGAGAAGGUUUUUAGGGUGAUCUUUUCCUUUAGUGUACAGUUAGAGAAGGUUAGGGGUGAUCUCCUUUAGUGUACAGUUAGAGAAGGUUUUUAGGGUGAUCUUUUCCUUUAGUGUACAGUUAGAGAAGGUUUGGGGUGAUCUCCUUUAGUGUACAGUAAGAGAAGGUUUUUGGGGUGAUCUUUUCCUUUAGCGUACAGUUAGAGAAGGUUUUUAGGGUGAUCUUUUCCUUUAGUGUACAGUUAGAGAAGGUUUUUAGGGUGAUCUUUUCCUUUAGUGUACAGUUAGAGAAGGUUUUUGGGGUGAUCUUUUCCUUUAGCGUACAGUAAGAGAAGGUUUUUAGGGUGAUCUUUUCCUUUAGUGUACAGUUAGAGAAGGUUUUUGGGGUGAUCUUUUCCUUUAGCGUACAGUAAGAGAAGGUUUUUAGGGUGAUCUUUUCCUUUAGUGUACAGUUAGAGAAGGUUUUUGG